ACUAUAACUCUACUAUAACUUAAACUGUUUAGAUGUUUAGCUUUGUUUCCUCCAGACAGGAGACAUGUUCUCCUGUAUCCUUCAUGACAACAUCCUUCAGCACCAACUCCAGCACAACAACACACACUUCAACAUCAUCUUCAUGAACUGUCAGUCCAAACCAGACCCAUCACAGAGAAAUCUUCUACAUCCUGCCAUCCCAGUGUUUCUUCAAAGCAGAGCAUAAAAUGGCCCCUGUUAACCCUCACCUGACCACCUGGCUGACCCUGAGAAAAACCACACAUCAUGCUGCCUCAGACCACCAGCAACAGUGAACUCAGCACUGCUGCAUCAUACAGAGACAUGUCCUCCUCCUGCCAGUGACCAGGGUUCUUCUCAGCUUUCAGAAGGCCUUUCUCUCCUGUGAAUCCUUCAUAGCUGAGACCCUCACAGAUGAACAGAAAGUUAUCAUCAACACUUCUGAAACAUCCACAUGUUAAAUCUCACUGACAGGAGAUGAUUUGUGCUCUGCAGCACUGUUCAAGGAUCAGUUCCACCUUCAUGCUUGCAUCAUCUUCCUCUCCAGUAGAGACAAACUGCUGUUGACUCUUUGGUUGGUGGUCACAUGUCUGUCCCCUGUCUUCACACACAUCCAUAAAGGAUGUGAAGGGGACCAAGGGCCUCCUCACGAUGGAGGGGGACAUUGUGCAAGUAUGUUGAUUCUGUUCAUCACAGUAACACACUGAUACACUAACUUUAAUCAACAUUCCCAGUAAUUACAAUGUGUGCACUGAUCUUCUGUAGGUUUAUUGUUAAAUCA
This is a long non-coding RNA of Osmerus eperlanus (European smelt), 799 nucleotides long. RefSeq lists it as uncharacterized. Lineage: Eukaryota; Metazoa; Chordata; Actinopteri; Osmeriformes; Osmeridae. The record is from RefSeq and is a predicted model, not a curated record. The transcript is spliced from 3 exons.